UUCUGAUAAAGCCAAACCCGUUGAGAGGCGGGACGGAAAACUUCGGGUCUUAGUGGAUACUGCUGAAAGACAGCCGGGUUGCCUUU
RNAcentral lists this non-coding RNA (86 nucleotides) under Desulfobacteraceae bacterium. RNAcentral's name for it is "c-di-GMP sequence". It matches the Rfam family "c-di-GMP-I riboswitch aptamer". From Rfam's summary of the family: GEMM was predicted in a large-scale screen for bacterial structured RNA regulatory elements. Lineage: Bacteria; Pseudomonadati; Thermodesulfobacteriota; Desulfobacteria; Desulfobacterales; Desulfobacteraceae. The record is from RNAcentral.